This 238-nucleotide long non-coding RNA is filed under the name Vigna radiata. RNAcentral's name for it is "long non-coding RNA (VRAD_LNC005599)". The record is from RNAcentral. Lineage: Eukaryota; Viridiplantae; Streptophyta; Magnoliopsida; Fabales; Fabaceae.
CGGUGCCUUUGCUAGCCGACGCCGACGUCUAAGCUUCUGGGAAUUUGAUCGGCACCAUUAAUUGCAACCUAGUAGACGUCGGUCCCCUGAAACACUGACGUUAAUGGACUGUCUUAUCACAUACCUCAAACAAUUGGACGUCAGUUUGCGGCAGGUGCGACGUCUAUGAUGUCAUAGAUGUUGCCUGACAUCGAAACUGACGUCUAGUUUUCCAAUUUAUUUACGAUAAUGCCACCGU